UUCAGAGAUCUGCUGUGCACACCCAUUUCUUUUUCAAUCCCUCCUAAGGACCAUGAGAAGCAGCAGCACCAAAACCAAAGUAUGAACCGAAUUCAAGGUUCUUUUUGUUCCAGUUGCCACAUUCCAAACUAGAUGUCCACAUGACAACCCUGUUUAAAACUUCUUCAAUUUUUAAAAGCAAAAGCAAUUACAGGAAAACAAUUCAUUCAGAGGGAUUGUGUGUGCUUACAAGUAUCUUCUGUGGCCUUUCUCCAAGUUUAACCACCAACAACUUUGAGAGCUGGCAGGUCUGAGUACCCCUGUUCUUUUCACUUUAUCAAAACCUGAGCUAAAAAACCGCAUCAGCUGAUGAUGACAGCAGAGGGUGGCAGGUCUGAGGACCCAAUAUUCCUUCCCAGGCUGGUGGAGGUUCCAAAACUAAAUAGGGAACUAAAUGUGGUUCCAAAACUAAACGAGGGAAGUCAGAGACUCUUUCCAACCUUACCUGAUGGUUUCUGGCCAAAGCAAGGAAGUAUUGUGGAAAAUGUUGGGUGGUGACACUGGAAGAGCACACGUCUGACUCCAGCUCAGGUCACGAUCU
Leopardus geoffroyi (Geoffroy's cat) is the source of this 580-nucleotide long non-coding RNA. RefSeq lists it as uncharacterized. NCBI's taxonomy places the organism in Eukaryota, Metazoa, Chordata, Mammalia, Carnivora, Felidae. The record is from RefSeq and is a predicted model, not a curated record. The transcript has 4 exons.